AUUGAACGCUGGCGGCAGGCUUAACACAUGCAAGUCGAGCGGAGAUGAGGUGCUUGCACCUUAUCUUAGCGGCGGACGGGAGAGUAAUGCUUAGGAAUCUGCCUAUUAGUGGGGGACAACAUUCCGAAAGGAAUGCUAAUACCGCAUACGUCCUACGGGAGAAAGCAGGGGAUCUUCGGACCUGGCGCUAAUAGAUGAGCCUAAGUCGGAUUAGCUAGUUGGUGGGGUAAAGGCCUACCAAGGCUACGAUCUGUAGCGGGUCUGAGAGGAUGAUCCGCCACACUGGGACUGAGACACGGCCCAGACUCCUACGGGAGGCAGCAGUGGGGAAUAUUGGACAAUGGGGGGAACCCUGAUCCAGCCAUGCCGCGUGUGUGAAGAAGGCCUUAUGGUUGUAAAGCACUUUAAGCGAGGAGGAGGCUACUGAGACUAAUACUCUUGGAUAGUGGACGUUACUCGCAGAAUAAGCACCGGCUAACUCUGUGCCAGCCGCCGCUGUAA
This 501-nucleotide ribosomal RNA is filed under the name uncultured bacterium. RNAcentral's name for it is "partial 16S ribosomal RNA". It matches the Rfam family "Bacterial small subunit ribosomal RNA", at positions 30 to 523 of the family's 1533-position model. The record is from RNAcentral.